UACGUAGGGUGCGAGCGUUGUCCGGAAUUAUUGGGCGUAAAGAGCUCGUAGGCGGUCUGUCGCGUCUGCUGUGAAAUCCCGAGGCUCAACCUCGGGCUUGCAGUGGGUACGGGCAGGCUAGAGUGCGGUAGGGGAGACUGGAAUUCCUGGUGUAGCGGUGAAAUGCGCAGAUAUCAGGAGGAACACCGAUGGCGAAGGCAGGUCUCUGGGCCAUUACUGACACUGAGAAGCGAAAGCAUGGGGAGCGAACAGG
Molecule: ribosomal RNA, 253 nt
Filed under: uncultured bacterium
Lineage: Bacteria
Description: partial 16S ribosomal RNA
Rfam family: Bacterial small subunit ribosomal RNA
Source: RNAcentral